GGGUUGUGCUGGCUUUUUGGAGCAUGUGCACGCCUAGCGCCAUUUUUACCACCUGUGCACCUUUUGUAGAUUUGAAACAACUCUCGAGGAAACUCGGUUUGAGGAAUGCUGUGUGCAAACAUGGCUUUCCUUGUGUUUCAAGUCUAUGUUUUUAUUAUACCCCAUAAGAAUGUAAUAGAAUGUUAUUAAUGGGCUUUAUGCCUUUAAAUUAAUACAACUUUCAACAACGGAUCUCUUGGCUCUCGCAUCGAUGAAGAACGCAGCGAAAUGCGAUAAGUAAUGUGAAUUGCAGAAUUCAGUGAAUCAUCGAAUCUUUGAACGCACCUUGCGCUCCUUGGUAUUCCGAGGAGCAUGCCUGUUUGAGUGUCAUUAAAUUCUCAACCUUUUCAGCUUUUGCAAGUUGGAUUGGCUUGGAUGUGGAGGUUAUUGCGGGCUUCUCUAGAAGUCGGCUCCUCUUAAAUGCAUUAGCGGAACCUUUGUGGACCAGCUUUUGGUGUGAUAAUUAUCUACGCCAUGGUUGUGAAGCAGCUUUAACAUGGGGUUCAGCUUCUAACAGUCCAUUGACUUGGACAAAUUUAUGACA
This 583-nucleotide ribosomal RNA is filed under the name Collybia sordida. RNAcentral's name for it is "eukaryotic LSU rRNA". The stretch from base 216 to 369 matches the Rfam family "5.8S ribosomal RNA". Lineage: Eukaryota; Fungi; Basidiomycota; Agaricomycetes; Agaricales; Clitocybaceae. The record is from RNAcentral.